CCUACGGGAGGCUGCAGUCGAGAAUCUUUCACAAUGGGGGCAACCCUGAUGGAGCGACGCCGCGUGGAGGAUAAGGUCUUCGGAUUGUAAACUCCUGUCAUGCGAGAACAAGGUUGCAGGGCUAACACCUUUGCAAAUUGAUGGUACCGCAAGAGGAAGAGACGGCUAACUCUGUGCCAGCAGCCGCGGUAAUACAGAGGUGGCAAGACUGGGCGGAAAGGGUGGGGAGUAGAGGUUGUAAGUCAGACGUGAAAGCCCGGGGCUCAACCUCGGAAUUGCAUCCGAUACUGCCAUGCUGGAGUACUGAAGAGGUGACUAGAAUUCUAGGUGUAGCAGUGAAAUGCGUAGAUAUCUAGAGGAAUACCAACGGCGAAGGCAGGUCACUGGGCAGUUACUGACACUGAGGCACGAAGGCCAGGGGAGCAAACGGGAUUAGAUACCCCGGUAGUC
Molecule: ribosomal RNA, 450 nt
Filed under: uncultured bacterium
Lineage: Bacteria
Description: partial 16S ribosomal RNA
Rfam family: Bacterial small subunit ribosomal RNA
Source: RNAcentral